This 2894-nucleotide ribosomal RNA is filed under the name Klebsiella pneumoniae. RNAcentral describes it as "bacterial LSU rRNA". It matches the Rfam family "Bacterial large subunit ribosomal RNA". The record is from RNAcentral. Lineage: Bacteria; Pseudomonadati; Pseudomonadota; Gammaproteobacteria; Enterobacterales; Enterobacteriaceae.
UUAAGCGACUAAGCGUACACGGUGGAUGCCCUGGCAGUCAGAGGCGAUGAAGGACGUGCUAAUCUGCGAAAAGCGUCGGUAAAGGUGAUAUGAACCGUUAUAACCGGCGAUGUCCGAAUGGGGAAACCCAGUGUGAUUCGUCACACUAUCGUUAACUGAAUACAUAGGUUAACGAGGCGAACCGGGGGAACUGAAACAUCUAAGUACCCCGAGGAAAAGAAAUCAACCGAGAUUCCCCCAGUAGCGGCGAGCGAACGGGGAGCAGCCCAGAGUCUGAAUCAGCUUGUGUGUUAGUGGAACGGUCUGGAAAGUCCGACGGUACAGGGUGAUAGUCCCGUACACCAAAAUGCACAGGUUGUGAACUCGAAGAGUAGGGCGGGACACGUGGUAUCCUGUCUGAAUAUGGGGGGACCAUCCUCCAAGGCUAAAUACUCCUGACUGACCGAUAGUGAACCAGUACCGUGAGGGAAAGGCGAAAAGAACCCCGGCGAGGGGAGUGAAAAAGAACCUGAAACCGUGUACGUACAAGCAGUGGGAGCACCUUCGGGUUGACUGCGUACCUUUUGUAUAAUGGGUCAGCGACUUAUAUUCUGUAGCAAGGUUAACCGUAUAGGGAGCCGCAGGGAAACCGAGUCUUAACUGGGCGUUAAGUUGCAGGGUAUAGACCCGAAACCCGGUGAUCUAGCCAUGGGCAGGUUGAAGGUUUGGGUAACACUAACUGGAGGACCGAACCGACUAAUGUUGAAAAAUUAGCGGAUGACUUGUGGCUGGGGGGUGAAAGCCAAUCAAACCGGGAGAUAGCUGGUUCUCCCGAAAGCUAUUUAGGUAGCGCCUCGUGAACUCAUCUUCGGGGGUAGAGCACUGUUUCGGCUAGGGGUCAUCCCGACUUACCAACCCGAUGCAAACUACGAAUACCGAAGAAUGUUAUCACGGAGACACACGGCGGGUGCUAACGUCCGUCGUGAAGAGGGAAACAACCCAGACCGCCAGCUAAGGUCCCAAAGUCAUGGUUAAGUGGGAAACGAUGUGGGAAGGCACAGACAGCCAGGAUGUUGGCUUAGAAGCAGCCAUCAUUUAAAGAAAGCGUAAUAGCUCACUGGUCGAGUCGGCCUGCGCGGAAGAUGUAACGGGGCUAAACCAUGCACCGAAGCUGCGGCAGCGACACUAUGUUUGUUGGGUAGGGGAGCGUUCUGUAAGCCUGCGAAGGUGGCCUGUGAGGGUUGCUGAGGUAUCAGAAGUGCGAAUGCUGACAUAAGUAACGAUAAAGCGGGUGAAAAGCCCGCUCGCCGGAAGACCAAGGGUUCCUGUCCAACGUUAAUCGGGGCAGGGUGAGUCGACCCCUAAGGCGAGGCCGAAAGGCGUAGUCGAUGGGAAACAGGUUAAUAUUCCUGUACUUGGUGUUACUGCGAAGGGGGACGGAGAAGGCUAUGUUAGCCGGGCGACGGUUGUCCCGGUUUAAGCAUGUAGGCUGGUUGUCCAGGCAAAUCCGGAUAAUCAAGGCUGAGGUGUGAUGACGAGGCACUACGGUGCUGAAGUAACAAAUGCCCUGCUUCCAGGAAAAGCCUCUAAGCAUCAGGUAACAUUAAAUCGUACCCCAAACCGACACAGGUGGUCAGGUAGAGAAUACCAAGGCGCUUGAGAGAACUCGGGUGAAGGAACUAGGCAAAAUGGUGCCGUAACUUCGGGAGAAGGCACGCUGGUGUGUAGGUGAAGUCCCUGCGGAUGGAGCUGAGACCAGUCGAAGAUACCAGCUGGCUGCAACUGUUUAUUAAAAACACAGCACUGUGCAAACACGAAAGUGGACGUAUACGGUGUGACGCCUGCCCGGUGCCGGAAGGUUAAUUGAUGGGGUUAUCCGUAAGGAGAAGCUCUUGAUCGAAGCCCCGGUAAACGGCGGCCGUAACUAUAACGGUCCUAAGGUAGCGAAAUUCCUUGUCGGGUAAGUUCCGACCUGCACGAAUGGCGUAAUGAUGGCCAGGCUGUCUCCACCCGAGACUCAGUGAAAUUGAACUCGCUGUGAAGAUGCAGUGUACCCGCGGCAAGACGGAAAGACCCCGUGAACCUUUACUAUAGCUUGACACUGAACAUUGAGCCUUGAUGUGUAGGAUAGGUGGGAGGCUUUGAAGCGUGGACGCCAGUCUGCGUGGAGCCAACCUUGAAAUACCACCCUUUAAUGUUUGAUGUUCUAACGUUGGCCCCUGACCGGGGUUGCGGACAGUGUCUGGUGGGUAGUUUGACUGGGGCGGUCUCCUCCCAAAGCGUAACGGAGGAGCACGAAGGUUAGCUAAUCCUGGUCGGACAUCAGGAGGUUAGUGCAAUGGCAUAAGCUAGCUUGACUGCGAGCGUGACGGCGCGAGCAGGUGCGAAAGCAGGUCAUAGUGAUCCGGUGGUUCUGAAUGGAAGGGCCAUCGCUCAACGGAUAAAAGGUACUCCGGGGAUAACAGGCUGAUACCGCCCAAGAGUUCAUAUCGACGGCGGUGUUUGGCACCUCGAUGUCGGCUCAUCACAUCCUGGGGCUGAAGUAGGUCCCAAGGGUAUGGCUGUUCGCCAUUUAAAGUGGUACGCGAGCUGGGUUUAGAACGUCGUGAGACAGUUCGGUCCCUAUCUGCCGUGGGCGCUGGAGAAUUGAGGGGGGCUGCUCCUAGUACGAGAGGACCGGAGUGGACGCAUCACUGGUGUUCGGGUUGUCAUGCCAAUGGCACUGCCCGGUAGCUAAAUGCGGAAGAGAUAAGUGCUGAAAGCAUCUAAGCACGAAACUUGCCCCGAGAUGAGUUCUCCCUGAGACUUUAAGUCUCCUGAAGGAACGUUAAAGACGAUGACGUUGAUAGGCCGGGUGUGUAAGCGCAGCGAUGCGUUGAGCUAACCGGUACUAAUGAACCGUGAGGCUUAACCUU